Molecule: ribosomal RNA, 487 nt
Filed under: uncultured bacterium
Lineage: Bacteria
Description: partial 16S ribosomal RNA
Rfam family: Bacterial small subunit ribosomal RNA
Source: RNAcentral
GAUGAACGCUAGCGAUAGGCUUAACACAUGCAAGUCGAGGGGCAGCACAAGGUAGCUUGCUAUCUGGGUGGCGACCGGCGCACGGGUGCGUAACGCGUAUGCAACUUGCCCUAUACAGGAGGAUAACCCGUCGAAAGACGGACUAAUACUGCGUAUGCUCACAACUUGGCAUCAAGUGGUGAGGAAAGAAAUUCGGUAUAGUAUAGGCAUGCGUCCCAUUAGCUUGUUGGUGAGGUAACGUCUCACCAAGGCAACGAUGGGUAGGGGAACUGAGAGGUUUAUCCCCCACACUGGUACUGAGACACGGACCAGACUCCUACGGGAGGCAGCAGUGAGGAAUAUUGGUCAAUGGGCGCGAGCCUGAACCAGCCAAGUCGCGUGAAGGAUGACUGUCUUAUGGAUUGUAAACUUCUUUUAUACGGGAAUAACAAGAGUCACGUGUGACUCCCUGCAUGUACCGUAUGAAUAAGCAUCGGCUAACUCCGUG